Molecule: ribosomal RNA, 251 nt
Filed under: uncultured prokaryote
Description: partial 16S rRNA
Rfam family: Bacterial small subunit ribosomal RNA
Source: RNAcentral
ACGGAGGUUCCUAGCGUUGUUCGGAUUUACUGGGCGUAAAGGGAGCGCAGGCGGAUAGGUAAGUGAAAAGUGGAAAUUCGGGGCUCAACCUCGGACGUGCUUUUCAUACUGCCUGACUUGAGUUCGUUUGAGGAAGCUGGAAUUCAGGGUGUAGCGGUGAAAUGCUUAGAUAUCCCGCGGAACGCCGGUGGUGAAGGCAGUCUUCGAACUUGUUACUGACGCUGAUGCUCGAAAGCGUGGGGAGCGAACGG